RNAcentral lists this ribosomal RNA (75 nucleotides) under uncultured Lactobacillus sp. Its description in RNAcentral is "partial 16S ribosomal RNA". Lineage: Bacteria; Bacillati; Bacillota; Bacilli; Lactobacillales; Lactobacillaceae. The record is from RNAcentral.
AGGUCUUGACAUCCAGUGCAAACCUAAGAGAUUAGGUGUUCCCUUCGGGGACGCUGAGACAGGUGGUGCAUGGCU